RNAcentral lists this ribosomal RNA (551 nucleotides) under uncultured bacterium. RNAcentral's name for it is "bacterial SSU rRNA". It matches the Rfam family "Bacterial small subunit ribosomal RNA", at positions 355 to 896 of the family's 1533-position model. The record is from RNAcentral.
UGAGGAAUAUUGGUCAAUGGACGGAAGUCUGAAUCAGCCAAGUAGCGUGCAGGAUGACGGCCCUAUGGGUUGUAAACUGCUUUUGUAUGGGGAUAAAGUUAGGGACGUGUCCCUAUUUGCAGGUACCAUACGAAUAAGGACCGGCUAAUUCCGUGCCAGCAGCCGCGGUAAUACGGAAGGUCCAGGCGUUAUCCGGAUUUAUUGGGUUUAAAGGGAGCGUAGGCUGGAGAUUAAGUGUGUUGUGAAAUGUAGACGCUCAACGUCUGAAUUGCAGCGCAUACUGGUUUCCUUGAGUACGCACAACGCGUUGGCGGAAUUCGUCGUGUAGCGGUGAAAUGCUUAGAUAUGACGAAGAACUCCGAUUGCGAAGGCAGCUGACGGGAGCGCAACUGACGCUUAAGCCNCNGGGGGGGUAUCAAACAGGNUAGAUACCCUGGUAGUCCGNUUUUUNGNAAAAACGAUGGAUGCCCGCUGUUGGUACCUGGUAUCAGCGGCUAAGNUNANUNCGAAAGCAUUAAGCAUCCCACCUGGGGAGUACGCCGGCAACGGUG